GCAGUAUAGCUCAAAUGGAAGAGCUCCUGUCUCCAAAUCAUAAUGUCCUGAGUUCAAACCCCAGUAUCUGCU
This 72-nucleotide transfer RNA is filed under the name Dipodomys ordii (Ord's kangaroo rat). It matches the Rfam family "tRNA". From Rfam's summary of the family: Transfer RNA (tRNA) molecules are approximately 80 nucleotides in length. Their secondary structure includes four short double-helical elements and three loops (D, anti-codon, and T loops). The record is from Rfam by way of RNAcentral. Lineage: Eukaryota; Metazoa; Chordata; Mammalia; Rodentia; Heteromyidae.